CCAUCCCGAACUCGGAAGUGAAAACCCGCUGCGCGGAUGGUACUGCCGGGGCCACCCGGUGGGAGAGUACGGCGCCGCCGGCC
This 83-nucleotide ribosomal RNA is filed under the name Longimicrobium terrae. Lineage: Bacteria; Pseudomonadati; Gemmatimonadota; Longimicrobiia; Longimicrobiales; Longimicrobiaceae. The record is from RNAcentral.